This 586-nucleotide ribosomal RNA is filed under the name uncultured bacterium. Its description in RNAcentral is "partial 16S ribosomal RNA". It matches the Rfam family "Bacterial small subunit ribosomal RNA", at positions 355 to 1375 of the family's 1533-position model. The record is from RNAcentral.
UGGGGAAUUUUGGACAAUGGGCGAAAGCCUGAUCCAGCAAUGCCGCGUGUGUGAAGAAGGCCUUCGGGUUGUAAAGCACUUUUGUCCGGAAAGAAAUCCUUGGCUCUAAUACAGUCGGGGGGAUGACGGUACCGGAAGAAUAAGCACCGGCUAACUACGUGCCAGCAGCCGCGGUAAUACGUAGGGUGCAAGCGUUAAUCGGAAUUACUGGGCGUAAAGCGUGCGCAGGCGGUUUGCUAAGACCGAUGUGAAAUCCCCGGGCUCAACCUGGGAACUGCAUUGGUGACUGGCAGGCUAGAGUAUGGCAGAGGGGGGUAGAAUUCCACGUGUAGCAGUGAAAUGCGUAGAGAUGUGGAGGAAUACCGAUGGCGAAGGCAGCCCCCUGGGCCAAUACUGACGCUCAUGCACGAAAGCGUGGGGAGCAAACAGGAUUAGAUACCCUGGUAGUCCACGCCCUAAACGAUGUCAACUAGUUGUUGGGGAUUCAUUUCCUUAGUAACGUAGCUAACGCGUGAAGUUGACCGCCUGGGGAGUACGGUCGCAAGAUUAAAACUCAAAUGAAUUGACGGGGUCAUAGCUGUUUCCU